This 1712-nucleotide long non-coding RNA is filed under the name Gossypium barbadense (sea-island cotton). RNAcentral describes it as "long non-coding RNA (GBAR_LNC023327)". The record is from RNAcentral. Lineage: Eukaryota; Viridiplantae; Streptophyta; Magnoliopsida; Malvales; Malvaceae.
UCGAGUUCAAAUAUUUAACAAAAUACCAAAAGAAGUUGAUAGUGUGAUGGACUGUGCUGAUGAUCCCCGAGCUCGUAACGCGUCUCCAAAUCUAUAAAAACGAAUGAACGAAAGCAAACGAAGUAAGCUUUUAUAGCUUAGUAAGUCUCCAGCAUAACUAAAUGUAUAAUUAUAAACACAUAAUUAUUAUAACCUUUUUAAUCUAUUCUACUGAAAUUUUAACUAACACAACCAACUAACAUUCAUACAUUAUUCUACUCAGACCAUUUCAUUUAUAGUCAGAUAUGUAUACCUGUCGGAUGAAUUCAGUUUAAUAUAUAUAUUAUACAAAACAACAUUACAAUUGAAUGUAUACCACCGAGCAUAUAUAUACAUAUUAUAUACAUAUCAAACCGAUUGUAUAUGUACACUCAUGGUAAGUUCUAAAUCAAUUCAAAUCUAACACAAAUAUAUAUACAUCAAUCACAUCUUAUAUUUGUUUGUAUAUAAAUAUACUCAUUAUGAAUUUAUACCUGAAUACCUAGGUAACACAUACAUUCGAAAUAUACACAUAUAUAUAUCUCAAAUGCAUACAUGAUUAAUUAUCAAACACAUAGGCUCAACAUAUAUAUGUUUAACUACCACAUAUCACCAUAUGCAUUUAUAAAUUCAGCAAUCACAUAUAUCUAAUGUACAUAUGUAUUCAUCGAUUUCAUAAAAUCACAAAUCAUAGAUAUAUCCAUUGCAUAUUCUAACACAAUUUAAACAGAUUCACCGGCAUUUUGCCUGCUAGGCUUAAAGCCUGAUUCAGUACACCGGCACUUAGCCUGCUAGACAUAUAGUCUGAAAUGUAUCACCGGCAUUAAGCCUGCUAGACAUAUAGUCUGAAAUGUAUCACCGGCAUUAAGCCUGCUAGACUUAAAGUCUGAAAUGUAUCACCGGCAUUAAGCCUGCUAGACUUAAAGUCUGAAUUACUUCAUCGGCAUUAAGCCUGCUAGACGUAACGUCUGUAUUACAUUCAAUCACUUUAUAAUAAUUCAAACUAACAAUUUCAUAUCUUCACUACCAUUCAAAAACUUUUACGUGAAUAUACAUACAAAAUCGAAACUUUCACAUACAUAUAUAAUUCCAUACCAAAUUUCGAUUCAAGAAUUUAUACAUGUGCAUUUAUACAUAUUCGAAUCUACCAUAUGAAUGUAUAAUUUCAUACUCAAUUUCAAAACAAAAACUUGUACAUAUAUAAAUGCACAAUCAAUCCUCGCAUACUUAUAUAAUGACAUAACUAAAUUCAAUACACAACACAUACAUGUAUACUUGCAUGCUUAUUCGACUUUAUAUAUAUAUACAUACUUAUAUAAUCAUUCAAACCAUAUAUAUAUAUAUAUACCUAUAUCUUAUACAUACCUUUGAUUAAUCCAAUAAUUUAUACAAGAUCAUACUUGUAUAUUCGAACAUGUUAUAUACAAUAUCUAUAGUCCAAAGUUUAUUCAACUAUUAUACUUUAAAUUAUAGCUCAAUCAUAAGAUAAAAUUAGUAUGCAUGUAUAAAUAUUAACUUAAUAACUUUUAGUUGCUAAUAGACUUACCUCGGAUAUCAGCAAACACGAUCGACUAUUCGAUUUCCUUCGACUUCCCCCGAUCCAAAUUCGUUUUCUUCGUUCCUUGAUCUUAAUUUUGCUAUGAAAGUGCCGAAACUUAAGAAACCAUGGAUGGUUUCUUCCUUUCCAAUAUUCG